This 355-nucleotide ribosomal RNA is filed under the name Helictopleurus marsyas. RNAcentral describes it as "partial 16S ribosomal RNA". The record is from RNAcentral. Lineage: Eukaryota; Metazoa; Arthropoda; Insecta; Coleoptera; Scarabaeidae.
ACCUGCCCUAUGAUAUAUAUUAAAUGGCCGCGAUAUUUUGAUCGUGCAAAGGUAGCAUAAUCAUUAGUUUUUUAAUUGAGAACUGGUAUGAAAGGUUGAACGAAAAAAAAACUGUCUCAGAUUUAAUUUAAUUAGAAUUUUAUUUUUAAGUAAAAAAGCUUAAAUAUAUUUAAAAGACGAGAAGACCCUAUAGAGUUUUAUAAUUAAUAUUAUAAAAAAAAUAUUUAGUAUAUAAAUUUUUAUUUUUUUAUUAAUUAUUUAGUUGGGGUGAUUGAAAAAUUUAAUAAACUUUUUUUUAUUAUUGUAACAUUAAUAUAUGAUAAAUUGAUCCAUAUUUUAUGAUUAAAAGAUUAAA